Molecule: small nuclear RNA, 116 nt
Organism: Sinocyclocheilus anshuiensis
Lineage: Eukaryota; Metazoa; Chordata; Actinopteri; Cypriniformes; Cyprinidae
Gene: U5
Rfam family: U5 spliceosomal RNA
About the family: U5 RNA is a component of both types of known spliceosome. The precise function of this molecule is unknown, though it is known that the 5' loop is required for splice site selection and p220 binding, and that both the 3' stem-loop and the Sm site are important for Sm protein binding and cap methylation.
Source: Ensembl
AGCUUGAGUUUCUCUUCAUUAUCACAUAAAUCUUUUGCCUUUUACUAAAGAUUUCUGUGGAGGAGAACUUUUUGUGAGUGACCUGUAUUUUUGGAGGCUCUGAUCACAGCAGAGCU